Molecule: ribosomal RNA, 587 nt
Filed under: uncultured bacterium
Lineage: Bacteria
Description: bacterial SSU rRNA
Rfam family: Bacterial small subunit ribosomal RNA
Source: RNAcentral
CCUACGGGAGGCAGCAGUCGGGAAUUUUGGGCAAUGGGCGAAAGCCUGACCCAGCAACGCCGCGUGAAGGAUGAAAUCCCUCGGGAUGUAAACUUCGCAAGAACGGGAAGAAUAAGCGAUAGUUAAUAUCUGUCGUGAUGACGGUACCGUUCGUAAGCUCCGGCUAACUCCGUGCCAGCAGCCGCGGUAAUACGGGGGGAGCAAGCGUUGUUCGGAUUUACUGGGCGUAAAGGGCGCGUAGGCGGCCAGCACAAGUCAGUUGUGAAAUCUCCGAGCUUAACUCGGAAAGGUCAACUGAUACUGUGCGGCUAGAGUGCGGAAGGGGCAACUGGAAUUCUUGGUGUAGCGGUGAAAUGCGUAGAUAUCAAGAGGAACACCUGCGGCGAAGGCGGGUUGCUGGGCCGACACUGACGCUGAGGCGCGAAAGCCAGGGGAGCGAACGGGAUUAGAUACCCCGGUAGUCCUGGCCUUAAACGAUGAAUGCUUGGUGUCUGGGGUUAUAUAGUCCCCGGGUGCCGUCGCUAACGCUUUAAGCAUUCCGCCUGGGGAGUACGGUCGCAAGACUGAAACUCAAAGGAAUUGACGGA